Molecule: ribosomal RNA, 253 nt
Filed under: uncultured bacterium
Lineage: Bacteria
Description: partial 16S ribosomal RNA
Rfam family: Bacterial small subunit ribosomal RNA
Source: RNAcentral
UACGAAGGGGGCUAGCGUUGCUCGGAUUUACUGGGCGUAAAGGGCGCGUAGGCGGCACUGUUAGUCAGGCGUGAAAGUCCUGGGCUCAACCUGGGAACUGCGCUUGAUACGGCAGAGCUAGAGGAUGGAAGAGGCUCGCGGAAUUCCCAGUGUAGAGGUGAAAUUCGUAGAUAUUGGGAAGAACACCGGUGGCGAAGGCGGCGAGCUGGUCCAUUACUGACGCUGAGGCGCGACAGCGUGGGGAGCAAACAGG